UCGCUUCUCACCGUCUUUAU
This 20-nucleotide small nuclear RNA is filed under the name Arabidopsis thaliana (thale cress). Its description in RNAcentral is "snRNA_08304". The record is from RNAcentral. Lineage: Eukaryota; Viridiplantae; Streptophyta; Magnoliopsida; Brassicales; Brassicaceae.